CCGAUCUGCAUGAUAUGGCUGGUUCGUUUCUCUGAGGACACGACCAACACGCCCCUCUGAUGCUCGGAUUCCUUUUGAGGCCAGGUCAACGCAGGUAGCCUUUUCAUCACUGAUGCCGCCAACGUUGCGGUUUUUCCUUUGGAUAGUGGGUGUUUCUGCUCCCUGGACCUCUCUGAUCACGGUCAUUAUGAGGUUCAUGGGGACACAACUGGGGAGACUCAAAGGAUCCAGACAGAGCCAGCUGAGUCACGGCCGUUUGCUUUUCGUCAUAGUCAGCCAAUGUCUACUGCAAACAUGAGUCAGUUGACUAGAUCAAGUAGCACCGCUCGGUCAUUUCAAAGGUCAAUACAUGUGUCAGACAUAAUGGAUGGAAAGAUUGUUUCCACAAGGGUGGUCAUGAUCAGAUGUGUUGAAUCAGAGGCUCUGAUCUGAGGUUCCACUGAUCACAGGAAAAGUGAAUGUGGCCAUGGGAGACAGUGAGGAGUACAUCCUUACAGACACCGUUGGGAAUGAAAUCGUUGCGUCUGAAGGGACAACUGGGUCUUUGUACUGGAAGCCGAAUGCAAGAAAGAUCCAUGCUGUUGAGAGUUCUGCUUUCAGGCAAUGGCGUCGAAGAAGCUCAAGAAGCAGAAAUGAGGUAUCUGAAGUCCACACACUGAGCAACAAGGUGGAGGAACUGCUGGAUGCAUCCCAAGGCCUGGAAGAAGUCACCAGGAAGAUUUCUGACAUAGUGGCAGCCAGCCAUGACUUGGUACCAAGGCCAGAAGUCAAACAGGCAUUGAGCUGUUUGAUCUGCAGAGAAACAAUGACUGGACCCAUGUUUUCCUCCUGCUGCCGAAGCAUCGUGGGAUGCAGGCUCUGUGUGGAGGAGUGGAGGAUAACAUCUCCCCGAUGCCUUAAGUGCAGGGAUCAGGAGCCAGUGUAUACCCAGGUUGCUGGACUGUCUGCAGCACUGGAUGCUUUAAGUGCCCUACCCUAAAGUGGACAGCAGUUCAGUCGUUUAUUGUUAAGUUUAUUGUUAAGUUUAUUGUUUAUUGUUAAGUGGUGUGUGUUCAAAUUCCAGGUUCCAUGAUAUCAUCAUACAGAAAAUAAUUGUUGUAGUUUUCUUUAGCUGUAUGACUUGUUAAUUGUUCAUCUGCAAUGUUUAAUACAUGGAGAAUUGUUUGAAUGUGUGUCCAUGGUAUGUUUAAUUAUGUUUCUAAACACAGGCAAAUAGCUGCAUACGUAAGGCAAUACAAUCAAACGCUAUUAUUUUAUCAUCCACGCACCAACAGAACAUUUGGAAAUCAGCCAUUAAUCAGAGGUUGUCGAAGUAAUCAGAUCUUGUUCUUGAGUAAAAGUAGA
Molecule: long non-coding RNA, 1344 nt
Organism: Trematomus bernacchii (emerald rockcod)
Lineage: Eukaryota; Metazoa; Chordata; Actinopteri; Perciformes; Nototheniidae
Exons: 6
Source: RefSeq, a predicted model, not a curated record